RNAcentral lists this long non-coding RNA (1535 nucleotides) under Lepisosteus oculatus (spotted gar). RNAcentral describes it as "lncRNA (ENSLOCG00000023318.1)". Lineage: Eukaryota; Metazoa; Chordata; Actinopteri; Semionotiformes; Lepisosteidae. The record is from RNAcentral.
AUGAUUAAACAACUUACCCUAACAGCAGUGCCUUGCCUUUUCCCUCCUCCAGUGAGCUUUCCAACAGAACUGCUAACUUGGACUCCAGAUACUCCAGUAAACUCACAUGGUCCACCAGUCUUUUGCACUUCUAGAUCAGUGCUCCCCAGCCCUGGUCCUGUUGGAGCGCUCUGUCUGCUGGUUUUGACUCCAGGUGUGGAGCAGGAAACAAGGACAGGUCGAACUGGCUCACAACAGGGACUCACGCUCGGGUUGGCUGCUUUGACGUACCUCCCAGGGUCGCGGCCGAGGAGCAGCUCAGACCCGGCAGGCUCCCUUCUGCCUGGUUUCCCUGUUUCGCACUCCAGAAAGCCAGCUGCUUCCCGGUGGGCGACGAGAUGGAUUUGGCCAUUGAAAUAUGUGCGAAUUGUGCCAGAGGGCUCGUUCAGCUGAUCCCUGAAAUGCACCAACACGCCAGCCUGCAACCCCAGGACAGUCGUCCGCUCCACGUCCUCUGACAAGCGCCCUGGGAAUUCCAGCCUUGUAUGUCAAUUACAAGAGGAACAAAAGCAUCCAUUAAACAAUGAGUGUAUUAAGUCUGCAGGUGCUUAAUAUCAGUGAUGAACUGCUGAAGGAUUUAAACAAUGCAGGAAUCUUGGCAGCCUGCAAGAAUGUGGAAGUAAAGACCAGGUUGACAUUCCAGGCCAUUUCCUAGACGCACUCCUUGCUGCCUUGAGUGCUUUCAGUUAUCAAAUACUUUCCAAGUGAGGCUUCCUUUUUCAGCACUCACGGAUCCUCCAAGGUCCGGGCAGCAGGUGUGAGGCCAAGACGACGUUCCUGAGGAGUUGGGCAAACAGAAGGGGAGCUGAUGGCUUUCCCUUCCAUCGGAAAACAAAAGGGAAGGAAUGCAGGAGGAUGGACUCAUGCAUGAUUAGAUGCUGCAGAUAAGACACCCAGAUACUGUAUGUGACCGUAUGCACGGUGCUCUUCGGCCCUGGCUGUUUGAGAAUCGGAUUGGGAAUAAGGAACAAUAGAAUAGGAAAAAAUUGGAAUAGGCUGGCAUCUCACACAUAAACUUUCAAGGUCGGCCUAGAUACACUUGGUUACUCAACCACACUUUUCUGUAGCAGAAGCCGGAGCUCUGUGGGUGAAAAACAGCACAGUCCAAAAGAGGCUCCCAUCCAAUUAGCAGGAAAAGCUUGACCAGCGUACCGUAUAAAAAGACUUCAUCUUUCUGAAAAAGUUUUAACGGACAAACUGCAAUCACAUUUUCUUCUUCUGCUCCUUUGUGGGAAAUAAAAAUAACCAGAGGCAAAAAAAAGAGAGAAAGAAAUAAAGAGAAAAUGUUCCCAAAGAAAAGCGCUGCUCUUGUGGUGUUUUCAGCGGCAGGGUCAUUAGUAAAAGGAGGUCAUUUGCACUUCAUCUGAGUGCUUUUUGACUUUAAUCACAUUUUAAAUAUCGCCAUGGUGAUUGCAAGAGAUGGGCUUAAAAGCAAAAAAUUGCUCAAAAUUGCUUCAUCUCAAGUCAAAUGAGUUCUCAGAGGGUUUGAAAUGCUG